Molecule: ribosomal RNA, 450 nt
Filed under: uncultured bacterium
Lineage: Bacteria
Description: partial 16S ribosomal RNA
Rfam family: Bacterial small subunit ribosomal RNA
Source: RNAcentral
GUGGGGAAUUUUGGACAAUGGGCGAAAGCCUGAUCCAGCCAUGCCGCGUGCAGGAUGAAGGCCUUCGGGUUGUAAACUGCUUUUGUACGGAACGAAAAGACUCCUUCUAAUAAAGGGGGUCCAUGACGGUACCGUAAGAAUAAGCACCGGCUAACUACGUGCCAGCAGACGCGGUAAUACGCAGGGUGCAAGCGUUAAUCGGAAUUACUGGGCGUAAAGAGUGCGCAGGCGGUUAUAUAAGACAGAUGUGAAAUCCCCGGGCUCAACCUGUGAACUGCAUUUGUGACUGUAUAGCUAGAGUACGGUAGAGGGGGAUGGAAUUCCGCGUGUAGCAGUGAAAUGCGUAGAUAUGCGGAGGAACACCGAUGGCGAAGGCAAUCCCCUGGACCUGUACUGACGCUCAUGCACGAAAGCGUGGGGAGCAAACAGGAUUAGAUACCCUGGUAGUCC